AUUGAACGCUGGCGGCAUGCCUCACACAUGCAAGUCGAACGGUAACAGGUCUUCGGAUGCUGACGAGUGGUGAACGGGUGAGUAAUACAUCGGAACGUGCCUAGUAGUGGGGGAUAACUACUCGAAAGAGUGGCUAAUACCGCAUGAGAUCUACGGAUGAAAGCAGGGGAUCGCAAGACCUUGUGCUACUAGAGCGGCCGAUGGCAGAUUAGGUAGUUGGUGGGAUAAAAGCUUACCAAGCCGAAGAUCUGUAGCUGGUCUGAGAGGACGAUCAGCCACACGGGGACUAGGAAACGGCCCAGACUCCUACGGGAGGCAGCAGUGGGGAAUUUUGGACAAUGGGCGCAAGCCUGAUCCAGCAAUGCCGCGUGCAGGAUGAAGGCCUUCGGGUUGUAAACUGCUUUUGUACGGAACGAAAAGCCCCGGGUUAAUACCCUGGGGUCAUGACGGUACCGUAAGAAUAAGCACCGGCUAACUACGUGCCAGCAGCCGCCGUAA
RNAcentral lists this ribosomal RNA (498 nucleotides) under uncultured bacterium. RNAcentral's name for it is "partial 16S ribosomal RNA". It matches the Rfam family "Bacterial small subunit ribosomal RNA", at positions 30 to 523 of the family's 1533-position model. The record is from RNAcentral.